CCUAUCUUUUGUUAUAGGAGUGUUGGCCAUGACCCUUAUGACGGAUGGGGAAAGGCAUCACAUCCUUCCUCUCCUACUUGCAGAAAUAUGAAUACUCAAGGUUAAUGUCAAGGAUGUUUGUUCCACUUCAAAACUGAUGAUGUAUUAUACUCUGCAUCUGAAUUGACAAGGAAUGGACUCUUCAGCACUGACAGCAAAUCUCUCUUUAGAGGUCUGGAAAAGCAGAAAGAGGAGGAUGAAGAAAUGUCCACAAAACUGCUCCUAUCCUUUAGACCACAUACGACCAAACUCUUGCCUUUCGUCAGUUUUCAGUUUGUACAUUAACAUAUCCUGGUGAAGUUCCUCAACCACUUCUGAAACAUUCAAUUUUAAUUUAUAUUUGCCCACAUUCUUUCAUCUGUGAUUUGGACACAUGCAGGCUAUUGAAUAUAAUGGAUACAAAUCUCUCACUGAUUCCCUUGAGCUAUUUCAUAGUUCUGCUUUCACAGGCAGGAGACAGUCAAGAAAUAAUAAUUCAGUUAUUUCUUAAAGAUUUCACAAUUCUACAUUCAAUAAAGAAAAUGUGAAUUCCUGGAAGUUAUG
This 582-nucleotide long non-coding RNA is filed under the name Pongo abelii (Sumatran orangutan). RNAcentral's name for it is "lincRNA". Lineage: Eukaryota; Metazoa; Chordata; Mammalia; Primates; Hominidae. The record is from RNAcentral.